AAAAUAAUUCAAUAUUUUCUUUUAAAAUUUUACGCUUCCUUCUAAAUAUUUUAAGCAGCACAGCAUACAUUCAUCACUUGGUUCACUCCUGUUACUAAAUCAUGAUACUCUUCCUUCUUCUUCUCUGUUGUCCUUGUUGUUGUUUUCUCUUUUUGCUGCUGCUAUUGUUACUGUGGUUUGAGGAGCGAAAUUCGAUCUCAUAUUCUUUGUUCAUGUUGUGGCUCGCUUCGAUUUACCUCAUUUGUUACCGAAUUCAGUGAUUUCUUCACCGCCGUUAGGGAUCGAGCCUUCGAGUUUGUCCUGGACGGUUCUUUCGAAUGGAUGCGCCAGCUCCAUGGAGGCUUGCUCGGGCGGCGCGUGUGAGUUUCAUGGUUGAUUGCGGAGGCGCGUUGGUCUCCGAUCUCUCCUAGACGAACGCUUGAACGGCGUUCAGAAUCAAAAUCAUGAAUAACCUAAAUCCCUAACCCCAACCCUAACACAAUUUCCCCAAUUUCACAACACUGAUGUGCGUAUUCUGCGUUUCUCUCUGCUCUGCCGAGUUCUGCUCUACUCCGCCGUGUUCUUCUGCUCCGCUGUGUUCUUCUCCUCGCAUCGAGUUCUGCUUUGCUCCACCAUGCUCUUCUGCUCGCGCCGAGAAAUUUCAUGUAACUCAAUUAGAUCACAGUAAGGCCAUCUGCAGAUAAAUGUGAGGCAGAGUUGUUAAGCAAGAAAUAUGAGGAGAAGUACAAACAUUGUAGCGGAAAUAACAUCCAAAUUGAUUGUUGAAGAAGCUAAAUUUCGUGAUAUACAGGUAAUUAGAAAUUUGCAUUAUUAUUUGGCAAAUAGUAAAAGGAAUUUAGGGAAGAAUGAAUUGUUAUUAGCCUUGCUUAAUGGAUGUAAAGGUAAUUAUAAAGGUAAGAAGAAUGAGAUUUUGCAGCGAGAAAGGAGAGAAGAAAAGGAUUUUUCUGUGGUCUGAGGUUCUUCUUGUGAGGAUUUUGCUCCUACUUAAUGGGUCUACUUAAAGAGCUUUUGUUUUUAGUAAUUGACUGUGUGGGAUUGGCUUGGUUUUUUCUAGUUUUGAAAUUUUGCUGAAAAUAAGCUUUCUUCAGCUGAUUUUUGUCCUCCACCCCCGGAAGGUAUGUUAUGUAUACACUCUUGUUUGCAUAUUCUUCCUUGUUCAUCUCCCUUUCUAUUCUCCACUGUUUUGGAGCUAGUUAUUGUUGCGUACCCUUGUUUCUUUACCAGUUGUUGGAAGCUGAGUUGUGUACUUUUCACAAGGUCACAGUGAACAGAAGCAUGCAAAUUGCUGAGGCUCUCCAAAUGCAAAUGGAGGUGCAGAAGAAACUUUAUGAGCAAAUUGAGGUGCAGAGACAUUUGCAGCUUAAGAUUGAAGCACAAGGGAAGUACUUGCAAUCAGUACUACACAAGGCACAAGAAACACUUGCAGGAAUGAUCAACAAUGGCAGCCCGGGAUCUCCUCCGAUUUCGGAACUGACAGAAACAAGAGGAGGGUUCAGUUGGAGCUGUGGGCAGAGGAAACAGAACAGAGGAACCAUGUGUUCACUUGAAAUUUAAAGUUCUUUGACAUCUUCUGAAAGCUCAAUGGAUCAAAGGCCUCAUAGUACUAACACUACUAAUACUGCUUCACUUGAAUUGUUGCCACUCUUCAAAGAAUCUAAGGAACAAGAAGAUGAAUCUAUUAUUAGGAGAAAGAGGAGUUCAAGCUGCUUUGUUGAUCAGCCAUCAAAGAUGAGCAGAUCUAAAUUAUUAUAUAAAGCUGUGUUCUUCCAAGGAUGGCAGCUUCUCGUCAUCAUGGAAAAGGGUUUGCUUGCAACUUUCAAGCACCACACUCAGCUUCCCUCUCUGCUAAAGGACAAUGUUUAACUUUUUAACAAGGAAAGAUGUGAGAAAGAUUCUCAAGCGUAAAGACAGUGAUGCUGGUGAAAAAGAUUCAGCUCCCUCUAAAGAAACAGAUCAUGCUCAACAGCUCAAGUAUGCUUCACACUUCAAAGGGAUAACAUCAAUGCAUCAACGAUAGGAUUUAGCAUAUGGGACAAGUCAAGCAUGGAUAUAAAAUAUGCAAGUAAAUUGAUAUUUUUUGGAUAAAUAUUAAUUACUAUUUUGUUAUGACAAUUAUUGUUAGACAAGAAUUUUAUUAUUUUGUUGAAAAUUAUUGAUAAACAUGUAUUUGAAAUACUAAUUAAACUUUUUAAUAUCUAUUUUAAUUAGAAUUUUAUUAUUAGUUA
Molecule: long non-coding RNA, 2225 nt
Organism: Arachis stenosperma
Lineage: Eukaryota; Viridiplantae; Streptophyta; Magnoliopsida; Fabales; Fabaceae
Exons: 8
Source: RefSeq, a predicted model, not a curated record